UACGAAGGGGGCUAGCGUUGCUCGGAUUUACUGGGCGUAAAGGGCGCGUAGGCGGAUGACCAAGUUGGGGGUGAAAUCCCGGGGCUUAACCUCGGAACUGCCUCCAAAACUGGUCGUCUUGAGUUUGGGAGAGGUGUGUGGAACUCCGAGUGUAGAGGUGAAAUUCGUAGAUAUUCGGAAGAACACCAGUGGCGAAGGCGACACACUGGCCCAAUACUGACGCUGAGGCGCGAAAGCGUGGGGAGCAAACAGGACUAGAUCCCUAGUAGUCC
RNAcentral lists this ribosomal RNA (272 nucleotides) under uncultured prokaryote. RNAcentral describes it as "partial 16S ribosomal RNA". It matches the Rfam family "Bacterial small subunit ribosomal RNA", at positions 524 to 796 of the family's 1533-position model. The record is from RNAcentral.